AUGGGCAUUUUAAAGUUACCGGAGAAACCGAAAGUUGUGUGUGGGUUCCAAGUUCCUACACAGCUCAAAAAUAUCCUUCCCUGCAGCACGCUCGUGCAGGCAGCGAGCGGCAUCCCCCAUGCGCGGGGAGCUGCUGGGAAAAGCGGCGUGGGGGUCCUGCCCUGCUGCCUCUGCCUCCUUGAAGCUCCAAAGCAAAGCCCGAAACCCGCAGCAGACCACGGCCAGAAAAGCACCCUGGGGAUGGGGAUCUCCCUGUGUGCACACCCGCUGCCUGCGGCACGAGGGCACCCGACUGCGCCGGCCACGGAGAGGCUGGGCUCCACCGUGGGCCCCGAAAGCAAAGGGGGAAGCUGCUGCCCUAUUUCCCAGCUGCUGGCACCCUACAACGGGAUGGGUCUCAGCCGGAUCCGUGGAGAGCACAUGGGGAAGGAGGGGAGCCACGGCUCCAGCCCAGCCACAUGAUUCAAUUAGCCCUGGAGGGACGGCACGGCAGAGCAGAGGCCGCAGAGCGGGACCCAGCCCGGGCUCCAGCAGCCAAAGUUGGGUGAGAGGAGCACGGUGAGGAGCCCCGGGGCUGCUCCUGCAGGGCCAGAACCCGAUGCUCAUCCCUGUGCCUGCCGAAGGUAGCCUAAAGAUGCUUUAAAAAGAGAAGUGAAGCAAGUGUGCAGUUAUUCUCCCCAUCCCAGUUACUUGGGGUCAUCCACAUGUCCUGUGUCCUUGUGAGCUCCCCCACACCAUGCUCUGACCAGCACAAAGAGCUCCCAGAGCCGCAGGGAAGGCCAGGUCCCACAGGCUUCCUAACAGCCCUUCUCCAGCCUCCUGGCCCAGGUUUCCGUUCACGAUGUACUUUGGCAGCUGCUCACCCCCUGAAAAUGUCAGCGAAGGCAGUAAUUAGUUCCCAGCGCAAGUUCUGGGGUUAGAGGCCAGCUUACCCUGCCCCGCUGGGAUGCCUGCAGCCCCCAAACCUGAGCGUUUCCACUUUCCUUCCAGGUUACCACAACUCCUCACCUGCCCAAACCCCACCACCUCCCCAGGGACAAAACCUCUGCCCAGUUUUCUGGUUUGAUGCAUGCUGGGAUGAGCAAAUGCCCUCAUCCUGGCUGUGCUGAGCAGGGUUGUACUGGGCAGAGCUUCCCACUGAGCACCCCGAGCCCAAGGUGCCUCCUCCAACAACCCACCACGGACUGGGGACGCCUGGCACCCUGAGAGCUGCCUCUCUCUCACUUUGGGUGAAAAACGGGGCUUUUAAGAGCUAGGAAAGAGGAGCUGGUCCCCAAAAAUCACAGUGGCACUUGCAAAUCAAU
Molecule: long non-coding RNA, 1304 nt
Filed under: Anas platyrhynchos platyrhynchos (common mallard)
Lineage: Eukaryota; Metazoa; Chordata; Aves; Anseriformes; Anatidae
Description: lncRNA (ENSAPLG00000023584.1)
Source: RNAcentral